GCCACGUGCGGUAGUUUGUUCUCUUUCUCGAAGUUGGCUCUAUCGAGUGAUCUGCCAUUGCGCUGAAAAAUCGGUGAAGCCCGUAAAUUGAUGAAGCUUGCGGGCAUAUUCAGCAAAAUGGAGAAGAUCUACCAGGUAGUGGUGAUUGGAGUCAGAGGGGAGAGACGUCGGCAAUGCGGCAGCGUGGCACUGUAUGACAGUACUAAAGCUGAAAGAGAACAUUCUUAAAAGGCUACCGACGGUGAAAGGGUUAGAUCUGCAGCGCCAGCAGCUGAUAUACUCACGUUGUCUCGCCUACUAUGGGAUCCAGCACAAGUCUAUGAUUCAGACAGUGGUGCAGUUACCGGGGGCUGGGGGGAGGGCGGAGAGCUUGACAAAUAGGCAAAACUUCCACUAUGUCACAUCUGCUCCUGCCACGCCCUCUAGUGUUCAUCUGGUGUCUCCUUGACCUGCAGCUACUCCCCCAGUACACUCUCCCUCCCUCUUCCCCUCCCUCUCUCUCUCUCUCUCUGUGUGAUUGUGUGGUUGGAGACAGGUGUGCUGGAGUCAGAGCAAAACCCCACCAGCUGCAACCCGUUCCAUAAUCAAGACCUCUACAAAUACUCACUUCCUGCCACUUCCACUCGGCCAGAUCAUAAUCUCCGUUCAGUCAGUCAUGCUUCUAGCUAUUUGUUAUUAUUUAAGGUCCUGUAUCCUGCUGUGCCUGUUUCCCUGCCUGACAAUGUUUCUCCUCUCACUGCAGUUUUGCUCUGACUCUGGUGCCUGUCUCCUGUUUCACAUCUCACCACCCUGCUACCCUGUUCUGGAUUCAGCUCACCAUCACUCCCUUGGAUUCCCCUCAGGACCUGUUUACCCUGUCCCAACCCAGCUCACUCCAACCUCAGCCUCCACAUCUGGUUUCCUACAACCCGUCCGACCUUCCCUGGAUCUCCCCUUCAUCUCUCCCUGUGUUACAAUAUAUAUCUUGGUUCAUUCAUCCCUGUUUCCUUGUCUGCGUUUGUUCUUGGGUUCCCCUGUGCUGCUCCGCCAAGACUACGUUCUUUUACUCGUGUCUAUUAACGAUAAAGCAUGUAUCUGUUUUUGCUGUAUUGUAUGACAAUGAAUGUGAAAUAAUUGUUGUCCUUAAGUCAUGUUAAUGAGAAUAAAAGAGAGCCGCACACUCUAGGAGCUCAGAUGCAAAAAUUGAAUGACCAACGUUUCGACAGCCAAGCUGUCUUCAUCAGGGUCAUCAGGCUGUCCUAGCUCCUAGAGUGUGCGGCACUCUUUUAUUCUUAUUUUCAAGUUUUCUACUCCGCCAGCCAGCACCUCCCCUAAAUAGGUGGUAGUUUAUUUUUCUUCGAGAUAAGUCAUGUUAAUGGACAUCAAUAAAUUAUUAAUUAAUGUCACAUAAAGGUGCAGAGGGUUCAUUUGGUUUCUUGGGGGCAGGAGACCUCCAGCUAUUCUAAAACCAUUGACAUUUUUGGGGCUGUAAUAUGACAACACAACUGUGCCCUCAUACACACAGGACGGACUAUGAGUUCUGACUAAGGGAGGCAGGCUUGCUUUCCCUGGAAAGUCACUUGCAUUUGUUUGUCAACAUCAGUACAUUUGACUUCUCGCUUUCUAGCAUUUACAAGAAGUCCAACCUCUGGUUUCGUGUACCCAGGCACUGGAAUUCCCUCCCCAUGUCAGAAAACCUUCACAUUCCAGUUCCAUCUACAGACCUACCUUUACCUACCCCUCCAAAAUCCAAUCCAACCAAAGCACACGGGCAAACCCUUAUGUACACUUACACACACAGCUGACUGUGUUACCAGGAUCUGGCAUCCCAGGGGAGUAUCAGUAAGCAUUGCUUUGGCAACAAUUCAAGUAAUGGAGCAGAUGAAUGAUAGCCUGCAUGGUUACCAGUCUGCUCAGACAUCAUUCCCAUCCUUGACACUCCUGUCAUGCUCUUAGACAUAUGACCAGUGGUGGAUUUAGGUAUAGGCGACAUGGGCGCAUAUUGCCGGGGGCGGCACGGGGCGACCGCACACCCAAAAAGUCGGAAUGGUGACAUUUAUGCUAGCGGUUUUCUAUCACUCAUUUGCAUGUCAUAUCAAUGAUAUUACUGUGGUACUGUGGGUCAAUUAACCUUGUCGGAGUGGCGCCCUGAUUCUAGUUUGUGAGCUAGGCAGGCUACUGCCUGCGAAGGUCUCCCACUCAGAAGUACGAGAUGGGGAGGGGGCAGGGGUAGGUUGACCUCAGGACUCGACUGGAAGCCCGAGGAAGGGGGAGCGGGGGACUCUAUCAAAUAGAGCACCUCUAACUUUGUACAGCACAAAUGCAAUUAGUUGUGCAAUUUAGUAUGUGUUUCUUGUUUGAAGUGCAAUAGUGUAAUAAUCAGGUGUGUUAUUCUAUUUGUGUAAGUGUGUUAUUCUAUUUGUGUAUUUGUGUGAUACAGGUUUUGUGCAGUUUAGUUUUAUUUGUGUGUUUUUGUUAGCAAUAAUUAAAUUAUAUAUUUUUUAUAUA
This is a long non-coding RNA of Oncorhynchus keta (chum salmon), 2487 nucleotides long. RefSeq lists it as uncharacterized. NCBI's taxonomy places the organism in Eukaryota, Metazoa, Chordata, Actinopteri, Salmoniformes, Salmonidae. The record is from RefSeq and is a predicted model, not a curated record. The transcript has 3 exons.